GAGGCAGCCGCUCCCAAAGUUAAGUGCUCCAUGCUUACGGGAGUCUGUAAAGACAGUUGCCUCCCAACAGAAAGGUUUGCUGAAAAGAUUUCCUGUGCGGGAGAGGCUUCCCCCAGCUGUUGCAUACCCAAACUAACCAAACCAUAAUCCAGCCAAGCUACAAGACUUGCCGAGUAUCACAGAUGAUGGGACAGACAGAGGACAUCGUUGUGGAGGAUUUGCUUUGGCUGACUUGGUGCUGAUUUGAAUGCAGCUGCAAUGGCUGAAUAAAUAUUACAUUGAACAUCUA
Molecule: long non-coding RNA, 289 nt
Organism: Pleuronectes platessa (European plaice)
Lineage: Eukaryota; Metazoa; Chordata; Actinopteri; Pleuronectiformes; Pleuronectidae
Exons: 2
Source: RefSeq, a predicted model, not a curated record